GUAGUCCACGCCGUAAACGAUGUCUACUAGCCGUUGGGUUGUAAUGACUUAGUGGCGCAGUUAACGCGAUAAGUAGACCGCCUGGGGAGUACGGCCGCAAGGUUAAAACUCAAAUGAAUUGACGGGGGCCCGCACAAGCGGUGGAGCAUGUGGUUUAAUUCGAAGCAACGCGAAGAACCUUACCUACUCUUGACAUCCACAGAAGAACGCAGAGAUGUGUUUGUGCCUUCGGGAACUGUGAGACAGGUGCUGCAUGGCUGUCGUCAGCUCGUGUUGUGAAAUGUUGGGUUAAGUCCC
This 297-nucleotide ribosomal RNA is filed under the name uncultured Marinomonas sp. RNAcentral describes it as "partial 16S ribosomal RNA". It matches the Rfam family "Bacterial small subunit ribosomal RNA", at positions 790 to 1088 of the family's 1533-position model. Lineage: Bacteria; Pseudomonadati; Pseudomonadota; Gammaproteobacteria; Oceanospirillales; Oceanospirillaceae. The record is from RNAcentral.